This 277-nucleotide ribosomal RNA is filed under the name uncultured bacterium. RNAcentral's name for it is "partial 16S ribosomal RNA". It matches the Rfam family "Bacterial small subunit ribosomal RNA", at positions 335 to 608 of the family's 1533-position model. The record is from RNAcentral.
UUUCCUACGGGGCGCAGCAGUGAGGAAUAUUGGUCAAUGGGCGGAAGCCUGAACCAGCCAAGUCGCGUGAGGGAAUAAGGCCCUACGGGUCGUAAACCUCUUUUGCCGGGGAGCAAGGGCCGGGACGCGUCCCGGCCCGGAGAGUACCCGGAGAAAAAGCAUCGGCUAACUCCGUGCCAGCAGCCGCGGUAAUACGGAGGAUGCGAGCGUUAUCCGGAUUUAUUGGGGUUAAAGGGUGCGUAGGCGGGCUUUUAAGUCUGCGGUUAAAAUUCGGUGC